UAAAAAAUAAGCUAAUAAAGCUAUAGGGUUCAUACCCCUCAUAUAAAGGUUUUAAUCCUUUUUUUUUAA
RNAcentral lists this transfer RNA (69 nucleotides) under Scirtes orbicularis. Its description in RNAcentral is "tRNA-Met". It matches the Rfam family "tRNA". Rfam says of the family: Transfer RNA (tRNA) molecules are approximately 80 nucleotides in length. The record is from RNAcentral. Lineage: Eukaryota; Metazoa; Arthropoda; Insecta; Coleoptera; Scirtidae.